Molecule: transfer RNA, 71 nt
Filed under: Schistocephalus solidus
Lineage: Eukaryota; Metazoa; Platyhelminthes; Cestoda; Diphyllobothriidea; Diphyllobothriidae
Rfam family: tRNA
About the family: Transfer RNA (tRNA) molecules are approximately 80 nucleotides in length. Their secondary structure includes four short double-helical elements and three loops (D, anti-codon, and T loops).
Source: Rfam by way of RNAcentral
AGCCCAUUGCUCAAUGGUAGAGCGUUUGACUCAAAAACCAAAUAUCGUGGGUUCGAAUCCCAGGUGUGCCA